UGCCAGCAGCCGCGGUAAAACGGGAGGAGCAAGCGUUAUUCGGAAUAAUUGGGCGUAAAGUGUCCGUAGAUUGUAUUGUAAGUUAAUGGUGAAAUCCUAAAGCUCAACUUUAGAACUGCUUUUAAUACUGCUAUACUUGAGUUUUAUACAGAAAAGUAGAAUUUUAUGUUUAAGGGUGAUAACUGAAGAUAACAUAAAGGAAUACCUAUAGCGAAGGCAACUUUUUGGUAAAAACUGACAUUGAGGGACGAAAGUAUAGGUAGCAAACAGGAUUAGAUA
Molecule: ribosomal RNA, 279 nt
Filed under: uncultured bacterium
Lineage: Bacteria
Description: partial 16S ribosomal RNA
Rfam family: Bacterial small subunit ribosomal RNA
Source: RNAcentral